Molecule: transfer RNA, 66 nt
Filed under: Daphnia pulex (common water flea)
Lineage: Eukaryota; Metazoa; Arthropoda; Branchiopoda; Diplostraca; Daphniidae
Also listed under: 1 other name
Description: tRNA-Phe
Source: RNAcentral
GUUCUUAUAGCUUAAAUUAAAAAGCAUAGCACUGAAGAUGCUAGUAUAAUCAAUGAUUUGAGAACA